GUCAGGAUAGCUCAGCUGGUAGAGCAGAGGACUGA
Molecule: transfer RNA, 35 nt
Filed under: Aciachne pulvinata
Lineage: Eukaryota; Viridiplantae; Streptophyta; Magnoliopsida; Poales; Poaceae
Also listed under: 11 other names
Description: partial tRNA-Phe
Source: RNAcentral